RNAcentral lists this ribosomal RNA (482 nucleotides) under uncultured bacterium. RNAcentral describes it as "partial 16S ribosomal RNA". It matches the Rfam family "Bacterial small subunit ribosomal RNA", at positions 28 to 505 of the family's 1533-position model. The record is from RNAcentral.
AUUGAACGCUGGCGGCAUGCUUUACACAUGCAAGUCGAACGGCAGCGCGGGCUUCGGCCUGGCGGCGAGUGGCGAACGGGUGAGUAAUGCAUCGGAACGUGCCCAGUAGUGGGGGAUAGCCCGGCGAAAGCCGGAUUAAUACCGCAUACGACCUGAGGGUGAAAGCGGGGGACCGAAAGGCCUCGCGCUAUUGGAGCGGCCGAUGUCGGAUUAGCUAGUUGGUGGGGUAAAGGCUUACCAAGGCGACGAUCCGUAGCUGGUCUGAGAGGACGACCAGCCACACUGGGACUGAGACACGGCCCAGACUCCUACGGGAGGCAGCAGUGGGGAAUUUUGGACGAUGGGGGCAACCCUGAUCCAGCCAUGCCGCGUGCGGGAAGAAGGCCUUCGGGUUGUAAACCGCUUUUGUUCGGGAAGAAAUCCUCUGGGCUAAUACCCCGGGGGGAUGACGGUACCGGAAGAAUAAGCACCGGCUAACUACG